AAUUAGGGUUUUAGAGAGCAGAGAGGGCCAGAAACGUGUAGGCAGUUUCUCCCUUGGGACUUUCAUAGAAUGUUGUCCAUCCAACGGUGAAAGCUGAGCGGGAUACAGUUCAGAAAAUCUGAGCUGGAGUCAGAUUUUCGCAGGAAAUCAAGUUCUGGCAGUUUCGGGAGAACGGCCAUAACUUGCUCCACAGAACUCCGAUUCAAGCGAAACAGGCGGCCACGGAAAGCUCUCUCGAAGACGAAGAAGUCGUAUUUCUGGGUAAAAUACGAUUUGAGGACGUUUGAGGCUUCAAACGAAGGCUUGAAGCUGACUGGUCUGUUCAGCUGCGAUUUUGACGAAUUCUUCUGAAUUCUUCCGGUGCGGCGCUAUUAAGACCCUCGUUCCGAAUUUGAUUUAAUAGUCUCGACUUUAAGUUUUGCAGUUUCAGAGUUGAAGUGGCCAUGGAAGUGGAGAAUGACUAGGGAUAAGGAUUUUACAUUGAACAUUUUAGUUGAACUUAUUAAGUUUUAUUUUAUUUUUAUGAUACUACUUUAGUUUUGGCAAAUUGAUUUCUAAAUUAGUUUAAAUUUUAAUAGUCAA
Molecule: long non-coding RNA, 582 nt
Organism: Salvia miltiorrhiza (redroot sage)
Lineage: Eukaryota; Viridiplantae; Streptophyta; Magnoliopsida; Lamiales; Lamiaceae
Exons: 2
Source: RefSeq, a predicted model, not a curated record